UGCGUAGGCGGCUAAUCAAGUCAGAUGUGAAAGGCUAUGGCUCAACCAUAGUAAGCAUUUGAAACUGAUCGGCUUGAGUGCAGGAGAGGAAAGUGGAAUUCCUAGUGUAGCGGUGAAAUGCGUAGAUAUUAGGAGGAACACCAGUGGCGAAGGCGACUUUCUGGACUGUAACUGACGCUGAGGCACGAAAGCGUGGGGAGCGAACA
Molecule: ribosomal RNA, 206 nt
Filed under: uncultured bacterium
Lineage: Bacteria
Description: partial 16S ribosomal RNA
Rfam family: Bacterial small subunit ribosomal RNA
Source: RNAcentral